CAAGCUAGGCCAUAAAACAAAUCUCAAUACAUUUAAAAUUAUAGAAAUAGUACAAAGUUUAUGUUCUUUGAACACAAUGGAAGACACUAGAAAUCAAUAACAGGAAAAAAAUUUAGGAAACUCACAAAUACGUGGAAAUUAAGCAAUGUACUUCUAAAUAACCAAACGGUCAAAGAAGAAACCAGGUUCCAAGAACUGCGCUCCUUCCUGGCCCUUUCAGCCUGUGGUGUGUAUAACGUGAAUCUAAUCAUGAGGAACCCUCAGACAAAUCCAAACUGAGGAACAUUCUACAAAAUAACUGGCCUGCACUCUUCAAAAAUGUCAAGAUCAAUAAAGACAGAGAAACGUUAAGAAAGUGUUCCAGAUUAAAGAAGACUAAAGAGAGGAGAUGCAUGCUGAAGUAAUUAGCAGUAAUAGACAUGACGUCUGCAACUUAUCCUCAAAUGAUGCAUAAAAUGAUCUCUCAAGGCCAGCAGAUUCCCAAAAGGGCAGAAUAAGGAGCUGGGGGUAAAGAAGACGGAGUCACAUGCCAGAAGUCCUGAUACCCGGUGUCUGCAGAUCCACCCUUACCUAAAAGGAAAAUAAAAGUCAGGAGCCAACCUCGACCAGCAGAACCACAGAGAAUUUAGGGCAUGCUCAUCCCACAACCACUGCACUCAGAGGGGCUUUGCAGAGAUUCAGCCAGGCCUGUGACUCAGGGGUCAAGCCGUGAUAGCAAAUUCACAGCUGGGACACCUCCAUCUUUAACACCUGGGACUAAAACUGCCACUGGGACAAUAAAGGGGAAACAAGCCCUCUAGAGCCCUUCUGGCCAAGGGUGUGGAGAAUCCUCUUCUGCAGAUACCUGUGGAGGUGAUUCAAGGUGUGAUACUCCCAGCUUUGCCAUCCCCGACACAAGUCCCCAGGGGAAGGUCAUUUAAUUCCACAGCACCUGGGAGCUUAGAGAAGCUGCUGAGCUCUUUGUGCUCUGGG
This 972-nucleotide long non-coding RNA is filed under the name Equus asinus (donkey). RNAcentral describes it as "lncRNA (ENSEASG00005034687.1)". Lineage: Eukaryota; Metazoa; Chordata; Mammalia; Perissodactyla; Equidae. The record is from RNAcentral.